AGUGAACGCUGGCGGUAGGCCUAACACAUGCCAGUCGAACGGCAGCACAGUAAGAGCUUGCUCUUACGGGUGGCGAGUGGCGGACGGGUGGGGAAUAAAUCGGAAUCUACUUUUUCGUGGGGGAUAACGUAGGGAAACUUACGCUAAUACCGCAUACGACCUACGGGUGAAAGCAGUGGAUCUUCGGACCUUGCGCGAUUGAAUUAGCCGAUGUCGGAUUAGUUAGUUGGCGGGGUAAAGGCCCAACAAGGCGACGGUACGUAGCUGGUAUGGGAGGAUGGGCAGCCACCCUGAGACUGAGACACGGCACAAAGUCCUUGGGAAGGCGGCAGUGGGGAAUAUUGAAGCAUGGGCGCAAGACUGAUCACGCCAUACCGAGUGGGUGAAGAAGGCAUUCGGGUUGUAAAACGAUUUUGUUCGGAAAGAAAAGCAGCAGGUUAAUACCCCGCUGUUCUGACGGUACCAACAGAAUAAGCACCGGCUAACUUCGUG
Molecule: ribosomal RNA, 492 nt
Filed under: uncultured bacterium
Lineage: Bacteria
Description: partial 16S ribosomal RNA
Rfam family: Bacterial small subunit ribosomal RNA
Source: RNAcentral